Folsomia candida is the source of this 899-nucleotide long non-coding RNA. RefSeq lists it as uncharacterized. The record is from RefSeq and is a predicted model, not a curated record. The transcript has 2 exons. NCBI's taxonomy places the organism in Eukaryota, Metazoa, Arthropoda, Collembola, Entomobryomorpha, Isotomidae.
AAAUAAUAGCGUCAACUUGGAAGAUUUCUAUCUGCUCAAUGUUCGAAAAUACACACAUACUCGAAUCCAAUAAUCCAAUGGACAUGAAGCUGCUUCAGGUUUGGGCUGGUAAAAAGUUGAGCUUUUUAAAGCAACACGUAACAAUGAGAGUGAGUGAGAGGGGGACCAGUAGUGGAUUUGUAGGCACAAAAAAUGUGAAUACCUUUGAAUGCUAGAGAAUGAAAGCGUAUGUCCUUAUGAUGCUCGACGUACAGGUAAAAAGACGUACGUACGAGGACCGUGUAAUAAAGCUCACCUGUUGAACACACACAGGUCCGCGGAAUGGAACUUCACCCUUUUUUACUAGGCAUCCACCACUAUAUGCCUACCAUUUGCACUACAAAUUCACCGGAUAGUGGGAACAUUAUAAGGAAAGUGAAUAACCCCAACAAUGGACAGGAUCUUACCACAAGGAACAAGAAACCAGCAACACAGUGUUUAUUCCCGUGACGGAUUUAUUUAUGUGUACAUGAGGACGACGAUACAAUAGGGAAGGAACAAUAUCAAGGAAUUGAUGAUGAUGAUGACGACGAGAGGAGGCUUCUAUUUGCAGAUGAAAUGAGAUUGAAAGACAGGAGUUAUGUACAUCAAAGAAGAGAAGAUCUAGUCUUAUGAUGUUGCUUUUUUAAAUGGGUUCGAUGGGAAGAUGAGAUGAGUUUAAACUCAUCAAAUCAAUAUUUCAUUCUUGCUAGUCUCAUAAUUUUAAUCAAUAUGACUAAAGUGCCGGCUUUAUUAUUAAUUAUCGUAUAUUAUCAUCAUGUCAUUCGUCUAUUCUAAUUUUUCUGGAGAGAAUUAUUUGUCUCCUCGUCUGUAUUACAUAAUAAUAUCGUGAAGGCAAUAUUUUAUAAAAAAUAAUAAAU